Molecule: transfer RNA, 66 nt
Filed under: Runaria sp. 'striata'
Lineage: Eukaryota; Metazoa; Arthropoda; Insecta; Hymenoptera; Blasticotomidae
Description: tRNA-His
Source: RNAcentral
AUUUAAGUAGUUUAUAAAAAAUGUUGGUUUGUGGAACCAAAGAUAUAUGUGAUUAUAUUUUAAAUC